RNAcentral lists this transfer RNA (75 nucleotides) under Equus asinus somalicus. RNAcentral describes it as "tRNA-Gln". It matches the Rfam family "tRNA". Rfam says of the family: Transfer RNA (tRNA) molecules are approximately 80 nucleotides in length. Lineage: Eukaryota; Metazoa; Chordata; Mammalia; Perissodactyla; Equidae. The record is from RNAcentral.
UGUAGGACAUGGUGUAAUUUGGUAGCACGGAGGAUUUUGAAUUCUCAGGAGCAGGUUCAAUUCCUGUGGUUCUAG